Molecule: long non-coding RNA, 418 nt
Filed under: Nicotiana benthamiana
Lineage: Eukaryota; Viridiplantae; Streptophyta; Magnoliopsida; Solanales; Solanaceae
Description: long non-coding RNA (NBEN_LNC020122)
Source: RNAcentral
UGAAAGUUCUCUUUGAGGAAUAAUUUUUUGUUUAUAAAUACACUACAAAAUUCAUCCUUUCUAUCAACAAGAACAAAGGCAAAAGGGAAAGAUUGCAGCUACUGUAGCAACUCAAGUUGUCAACAUUCUAUCUACUCCGAUUGAAAAGAAAAAUGAAGAGGAAGAAGAACAGUGAAGAAGAGAGAGAAGAGAGAAAAGAAAGGAACUGAAACAUGAAAAUGCAAUAAUGAAUAAUGUGUAGAACCUUCCGUCAAUGUUCAGCCUAUAUCAAAGAAUAUCUAAUGUGUGUGUGUGUAAUUACAUGUGUACCCCUGUAACCUAUACAAAAUUGUACAUACAAAUUAAAUAACUAAUGCCCUUGGGCUGCUGCUAGUUUGGGCCGGUAGCUGCCUUGGGCUGAUGCUGAUGCUCACUAAUG